CUACGGGGUGCUGCAGUGAGGAAUAUUGCGCAAUGGGCGACAGCCUGACGCAGCGACGCCGCGUGGGGGACGAAGGUCUUCGGAUUGUAAACCCCUUUCGGGUGGGAAGAUGGGCUGGCGUAAGCCAGCCGGACGGUACCACCAGAAGCAGCCACGGCUAACUUCGUGCCAGCAGCCGCGGUAAUACGAAGGUGGCAAGCGUUGUUCGGAUUUGCUGGGCGUACAGGGUGCGUAGGCGGUUCGGUAAGCCCUUCGGAAAAUCUCCCGGCUUAACCGGGAACGCGCGGAGGGGACUGCCGGGCUAGAGGACGGGAGAGGAGCGCGGAAUUCCCGGUGUAGCGGUGAAAUGCGUAGAGAUCGGGAGGAAGGCCGGUGGCGAAGGCGGCGCUCUGGAACGUUUCUGACGCUGAGGCACGAAAGCGUGGGGAGCAAACAGGAUUAGAUACCCCGGUAGUC
RNAcentral lists this ribosomal RNA (456 nucleotides) under uncultured bacterium. Its description in RNAcentral is "partial 16S ribosomal RNA". It matches the Rfam family "Bacterial small subunit ribosomal RNA", at positions 339 to 795 of the family's 1533-position model. The record is from RNAcentral.